This is a non-coding RNA of Camellia sinensis, 707 nucleotides long. NCBI's taxonomy places the organism in Eukaryota, Viridiplantae, Streptophyta, Magnoliopsida, Ericales, Theaceae. The record is from RefSeq and is a predicted model, not a curated record.
UUCUACCUCCAACAUUUGGCCGCACCGCAGUUUGUUCGUUCGUUCUUUGAAGGGGAGCAAGAACUUUUGCCCUCUUUUUGAUUUGAUUUGAUUUCAUUUCAUUUCAUUUCUGUAUAAUAUAAUAAGGGGGCGUUUUGUCAAUCUUGCAGAAAAGGAGCUCAGCUCACCAUUCGAGAAAACUGUUCUACAGAACAGACUACAAAUCGCCAGAGACUAUAUCCCGGACCGUACUGGUGAGAAUAAUGGUUGGGCUGCCAGUUCAAAACCCUUCUUCUGCCUCAGCACUGUCAGGGUCAUCAAAAGACCAGGGGCCCACCAUCACAGCAUCUGGGGCAGAUAUGAAGCCAAAGAAGAAGAUGUGUUGCGCUUGCCCCGACACUAAGAAGUUGAGAGAUGAAUGCAUUGUUGAGCAUGGUGAAGCUGCUUGUUCAAAAUGGAUUGAUGCUCACCUUAAAUGCCUUCGUGCUGAAGGCUUUAAUGUUUGAGAAUUGUCAGGAUAGCCAAGCCAACUUGACCAAAAAAUGGAAGAUGAGACAGUUCUGUUGAAUAACCUGCUUUUGUUAUGGUUUAUACCAACAAUAGAUUGUGUAUAUGUCUCUUUGAAAAUACAGGAAUGAGCCAUUCAAGAAAGGGAAGCAUUUAUCAACUGUUAUGGAACUCUCUUCUUCUUCAUUUCUUAAUUCUGAAAUUGAGGUCGUUGCCUACAA